GCGCCUAUAGUGUAAUGGAUAUCACGCAAGAUUCCGGUUCUUGCGAUGGGGGUUCGAUUCCCUCUAGGCGCG
Molecule: non-coding RNA, 72 nt
Organism: Aerococcus christensenii
Lineage: Bacteria; Bacillati; Bacillota; Bacilli; Lactobacillales; Aerococcaceae
Source: Rfam